Molecule: small RNA, 27 nt
Filed under: Bombyx mori (domestic silkworm)
Lineage: Eukaryota; Metazoa; Arthropoda; Insecta; Lepidoptera; Bombycidae
Description: piRNA piR-bmo-1406872
Source: RNAcentral
UGAGUCGAGACUGAGCUUAAAUGUUGC